Molecule: long non-coding RNA, 7416 nt
Filed under: Sus scrofa (pig)
Lineage: Eukaryota; Metazoa; Chordata; Mammalia; Artiodactyla; Suidae
Description: lncRNA (ENSSSCG00050010586.1)
Source: RNAcentral
AAAGGUACCUGUUACAAGUCUGUGAGCGGAGAAACAAAAGCCCCGCCGCGGACACCCUCCCACUAACUGGUCUUAAUGGGCUGCACCUCCAAGCUGCAGCUGCCAGCCUGCACCACAACCACAGCAACACAGGAUCCGAGCCACAUCUGUGACCUACACCACAACUCACAGCAACGCUGGAUCCUUAACACAGAGGAAGGCCAGGGGUCAAACUCGCAUCCUCAUGGAUCCUGGUUGGACUCCUGCUCCACAACAGGAAACCCCUGAGUCCUAGUUCUUAGUGUCUGGCCACACGAUGUGAUACCGACUUCCCCCUCUCGCUUGGGCAGCUCUGUAUUGCGUAAGGUCCUCAGAUCCCUGACUGACACCUUGAUUGCUGCGUGGUGAGGGGCAGAGGGACCCAGCGAAGCCAUGUCUGGAUUUCCGACCUACAGAAACUGUGAGAUAAUAAGUGCUUGUUGUUUUAAACUGCUCGAUCAUGGGGUAAUUUGUUACACAGCCAUGGAGAAUACAGGGUAGAUAAGCAUGUUUGUGCAAAGCUUGCAUAUAAUUUCAAGAGGCGUUGAGAAACCUCCAAAGCCUGUUGAUGGAUAAUGUAGGGACCUCGUUGGAACCCCUGUUUUAGGAAGACAUUAAAGGGAAAGACAGUGGAGGAAGAAAUAAAAUAAGAACAGCAGAGUCCGUGGUGGAAGGGAGAUCUGGAGAGUCUGAUUAGAGACGGUUGUGUCAGGGAAGUUAAGCAAGAACCGAAUGCCUUAAUGGGAAGAACAUUCACUAACAUUUUCCAGGGGGACAGAUUCCCGAGGAUAGCAGCUAAACUGGCGAGUGACAUUUUUCCAUCAUGAUAUAAAAUUGGCGGGAUAUGUAACCCAAAGAAGCAGAGACCACUGUUCUGCGCUGAGGUGUGUGGGAAGAAAGGUUCAACCCAGCCUGGUUAGGUUGGAAAAGUGUUGGCUAGUGACCGAGGAUCCUGGUAUCCGGGGCCUGAAGAAAAUGUGCAAAUUGUGGCAAGGGCUCUAAGUUACCAAAGGUUUUAUAAUGGCCCACGAAACUUGGAAGUUGGGGGAUUGAGUUGGCCUCAGGCCUGGCUGGCUCCAAGGACUCCGAUGGUGCCAUCAUGUCGCUCUCCGUAUCUUUUUGGUCGACCUUCAAAUGGUCAAGGGUUGGGCGUGGGCUAGGCAGUUCUGCAGAGAGAGCUCCAGGCGUUCUUAUCCGCAAAGAGUGGCCCUCAGAGAAAAAGACCGUCUUCUCUCAGUGUCCAUGUGAAAUCUCGGGAGGGAGUGUGAUGGUUGUGCCUGGAAAGCCAUUAUCUCCCAGGUACCCCGGCACUGUGUGGAGGGGUGGGAGGAUAAUUACCUAAAGGAAAAGGGGGUGCUCUUGUCAGAAAAGAAGAAACACCGUGGGGCAGAUAAUGUGACAUAUGUCUACCGGAGUGAGUGACAAUAACCAGAGGCUGGAGGAUUGUUUAAUAUUUAAAGUUAUGCCGACAUAACGCAAUAACCUGAGACUUAACGCAGCUGUGUGGUGUUUGUGUCUCAGCAGUCCCUCAUUAUAGGAAAUUUGGGUUGUGUAUUUGAAUUGACUUGGAAUGAUGGCGUCUAAUGAAUAGAGUUCUGGCAGGGGUGGCCCUGGAGAAGGGGUUUGGGGGAUGAAACCAUGAAUUCAGAGGCUCAGAAUCUUAAGGAAAAAUGCAGUCCUUUCUCCUUCUUGUGUGUCAGCAUCUGUUGUUUUUCUCCUAGAACACAAAGUGCCUGCAGAGCCCAUACCCAUUUGAAUAAAGACCGAACAACCACUGCAGCAAAGGCUUAGCUGCCAGAUGCUCUGCAUGUGACUUGGUUGAAUUUCUACCACUUUCCUAAGUCCCUGGAUGAGGCCUUGUUUCAUCCGGGGACUCCCACUAUUUUUGAAAUGAAGAAUUUGAUUCCAAAUGGCAGAGAUUUAAUUUUUAAACUCAAUGAAAGAGACGAUGCCAACUAUUCAAUUUAGAUCUUCUUAGAUCGUAAAUAAGGACUUGUGAUUGACUGAGUCAUUUAACUUUUUAAAAAAUAGGGUUUUUUUUUUUUUAAAGUUCAUUUUUUUUAAAAAAAAAAGUUCCUCUGAGACCAACAGUAAUGUAGAAAUUGGCAGGAGAGAUCUCUCUGGUGGGCCAUUUCUCCCCCAUCCCACCCCCACCCCAGUUUUGUCACAGUGUGAUUUGGUCGGACAUGAGAAAAUGCUAAAUGAUAGGUUAAAUGAUCCAUAUGUGGCAAGGUAACGCAUUCCUAACUUCUGUAAAGUUUUUCAAAUUGUAACUGCCACUGUCACGACAUGUGGAUAAUAUCAGUAUUAGUUGUCAAUUAAAAAAAUUACAUGGUACUGAAUUUGCUUACUUUAAGACAUGAAAAUAGGAGUUCCCAUUGUGGCUCAGUAGUAACGAACCCGACCGGUAUCCAUGAGGACUAGGGUUCAAUCCCUGGCCUCGCUCAGUGGGUUAAGGAUCCGGUGUUGCUGUGAGCUGUGGUGUAGCCCGGCAGCCGCAGCUCCGAUUGACCCCUAGCAGGUGUGGUGACCCUAAAGGGCAAAACCAAACCAAACAAAAAGAAAUGAAAAUAUAAUUGUUAAUCAGAAAGACAUGCUCUUGGCUGUAGUCUCCUCCCCUGUGGGAAGGCCAGUCCCCUCGGCCAGUAGCUGACAUUCUACUGCAAGGCCUGUCCCCGGGGCCCUGCCUCUCGCUCGGUGGCUAAGGCACAUUCUAGAGACUCACCGUUCUCUUUGCCUCUCAGCACUUAAAGCUCAGUGGAAGCCCAUGGUGUAUCCUGGAUCCAAACUCAGGGGAUUGAAUUGGACUUCCCACUUGAUGUGUUUAUCUUGAGAAUCACAUCUGAUAUUAAUAUUAAUGAUAUCCCUCGUUUAAGCUUUGCCUUGUCUCCAGUAUCUAUGUACCAUAGUCUAUAAUUGUGUUUUCACCAACAGUCUUUGCAGGCUCGUAUUUUAUAGCUCGUGAAAUCAGUAUCUUGGAUUCCAUCAUACCCGUGUUCCAUGCCCGGGCUGUUUCCAUACACAGAUAUCCCCCCAAUUAUAAGUGAAAGAGGCCAGAUAAGUGAAAGAGAGGUGUUUUUUUUUUUUUCUUUUCUUUAUUCUUUUUAAUAGCCACACUUUUCAAGGCUGGGAAAUUACAGGCAGGAUUUGCUUUGGCCCUUUUGGACUAUUUAUUUCCUCUGAUUUCUGGAAAUUACUGCCUUGGAGAUUCUGUAUCUUAUUGACUUUGGGGAAGGCAGGUAAAGAAGCAUUCACAUGUGCCCCAAAUAGCCUCUUGGUGACUUUUCUGGCAGUUCAUUUUGGCUCAGUAAUGAUGUAUUGAAGCAAAUAUGUGCCAGCCCAGUGCCAGGCACAGGAGUUGCGGUUGCACUUCCUGCUUCCUAGACCAUGACGGUCUAUUGAACCAGAAUGAAGGGACGAGGUCAAGGGAACUAGCACCUGUUGAUUGUCAAACACAGGGAGGAAUUCCUCUCCAGCCCUCACCUGUGUCACCUCAGCCCACCUUCAGAACCACACUGACUUCUGUCCUCUGGAAGCUCAGGGACAUUAAAUAUUUGUCCAGGCCACACAACAAAUGUGUUGUGAAGUAGAAGUCGAGCAAGAUUUGAGUCCAUGCGUAUUUUUAUCCAUGCUUAUUUUUACUACUUUAUAUGCUUUCUCCCUCCAGCACUGUUCAUUUUGCCCUGUAAUUAAGUUCUAGGAAUUCCAUUUCCAUCUCACUACUUAGGUCUAAAACUGACAAUGUUAAGAACGGUUGGAAAAACAUGCUUUCUUAGAAACUAAAAACUGCUCUAUCCUUCUAUGUUGUGAAUUUCAAAUCUCAAGUGAACCUUUUGGGAGUUGAGUUCAUUUAAAGCUGACUUUCUAUUUCUGAGAAAAAAGAAUAGAAUGAUAGCACACAUGUUAUGGCUUUUUAGCAAAAUGUCUUUUUAAAGGAAAUUGUGAUGUGAUUGAAAGAUCUUGGUGGGCAAUAAAUAGGUUUUUUUUUCAAGGUACCAUUUGGAAGCAUUCAAGAGUCAGGAAUUAAGGACAGAGUUGCUGUAAAUAUUUUCAAUAUAUUCCACAAAUCUCAAAUCACAUCUGGUUUGCCCAGCAUUAUCAGCAGAACCUUUCUUUAUUCAACUCUGAUUCCUCCACUAUGAUUUUGUCAAAUUAAAGGGCUCAAUCAUAUGAUUUAGCAUUAGCAUUAGAGGAACUGUCCCUAAAUUGGGGUCGGGCAAGCUGAUCUAGUGCAAUAUUUCGACAAGUUCCUAUAAGAUACUCUGAUUCGAAUACGGGUUAGUUAGCAAUUUGCGUUACUAAACACAAAACUAACAUUCAUGAUUUAAACACACAGGAAUAACUGCAUGAGUACAAGUAUGUAACAUGAUGGGCCAUCGGGCCAUUUCAUGAAAAAUAUAUUAGCAAGCAUUUAGUUUUAUUUAUUGUUCAGGCCUCGGAGUGCUGGUCUGCCUCUCUGGGUCCAGCCUGCCGCUGGCACAUGACCACAGCUGCCACAGAGUCAGUGAGAAGUGUGUCCAGGCUGCACCAUCGCGUCUGUGGUGCAUCCUUUAGAAAGAUCCUGGUGGUAAGAUGUCAGCCUCGCUUUCUAGAAGCCUCGCGCACCCAUGCAGCGGCACGGCCUCCCAGCCUCAUUCCCACAGACCUACUGCGAGGAGUUCUAUCUCUGGGUCUGAUUUCAAGGUGAACAGGUUGGAGAAUUCAAGGGAAGGCUAUAGAUUUUUUUUUGCUUCUCACGUUGGUUGAUUAGCCCGGUACGUGGUAUUUGAUUAACGUCCGCGAGCUCUAAUUAGCAGUGCCUAACAGGGUCUCCAUACCCUCAGAUAUUGAUUCCUGCCUCCAGAAAAACUAAUCUAAUUGUGCUCCUUAUCAUUAGCGAAUGGGUGGUGUACUGACAUGAUAUUUUUUAUUGGGAGGGCUCCUUCAUCAUGACCGCUUUGGAAUGGGCUGGAGGGGGACACGGAACUAAGGUGUCAGGAAAAACGUCACGUUUGAUCACCCUGAGACUGUUUUGAUCCCCAGAGGAGGGAAAGCCAUAACUAUUCCAGGAGAAAUUUUCUUUUUAACUUUCCCCAAAGAGGAAAAUGGGCAUAAGACUCAAAUGUGUCAUUUGGACCACAGCGGGUAGAAGAAAAGCAAAGACUUUGCGGGCAUCUCUUUGUUUCUGGGCCACUUGUCUGCUGAUCUGUGCCUGCCUUCCUGCCACUCUUGAAAUGACGGCACAGGACUACAGUAAUUAAGGCACCUCCAUGGCUGCCUUUGCUGAUCCCUAGUUUUCAGGGAUCGUAAUGAAAAGACAUACCCCCCCCCAAAGGAAAUGAUAUUAAUAAUAUUGGCUUGGCGCUCGAAACACACAUAAACCAUCGCUCAGCUUACACGGGUUUUCUUCUCUUCUGUAGAAAUUGCAAACUCCUCUUUUUCAGCGGUACUUUUACAUCAAGAACACCAUCUAAUAAGGAGAGUCUCCUUUGUUCCUCUAAACAUAGCACUGGUCUUUUUUUUUUUUUUUUUCCUUUCUGAAAAUAUUGAAAUCUACAAUCAGACCAUUUGGAGAUUUUCUCUGGAAGAGCCCAGAGGGGCCAUAACUCGAGCCACAGUGGAAUAAUCCUCUGAUCUCUGUGUCUGCUUAGUGCCACCCUGGAGCGAGUAUUACCCGCUGCUGCUUUUGUGCCAUCGUUCUUAGUAGCAUCUAUUCCUAUGAGAGCACUUAUCACACUGUAUUGCAAUUAUUUGUUUAUCGUCUGUCUCUCCUGCUAGGCUGAAAAGUCCUGGAGGGCAGAGGAUCUAUCUGAUUCAUUGGUGCAAAAACUCAAUGUCCUAGGUGCUUGUCACCAAGUGGUGAGGUCACCUUUCUAUUAUUACUGUAGAUUACAGUGGGUUGAAGUCCUGUCUCAUUGGUGGCAGCCUUGUCCCCGUCCCCCCUUCUGAGGUCCCUGGCCUCCCCAGUGCUCUCGGAGCAUCUCAAGGUAUCCCAUGCCCAUGGCACUCAGUUGAAAUGAGGAUGUGAUGCUGCCUCUGUCUCCCCUUGAUCAAGAUCUUGCCUGAGUUCUCGCUGUCAUCUCCCAAUAGGUCAGGACCACUCCCUCCUCUUGGGACUGUGCUGCUGCUGCUCUUCUGGAAUGUGGGGAGGUGCAGUGGCAAGGCUUUCCUUCCUCUCAGUGGAGGCUAUUUUGGCAGAAAUGAGAGGGAGAGUGGUAUAAAAUGGAAAUAAAUUUGGAGAAUCAGGUGGGACUAGCUAAUGAAGAGGCUUGUAGACAUGGAACUGGGUUCUGUUUUUAGUGCAAUACGGUGGGAGAUAUUACUAAAAGAGGGUCUUAAUAGGAUAACUUUGAUGUAGAAGAUUAUUCUGACUGAUGAAAGGCUAGUGGAGUAGUUCAGCAGUACAUUAAGCAGAGACACCAGUAGGGAGCCAUUGCAAAGACCUUGUAGGAUGCUGGUAGAGGUGGAGAUGGAGGGGGUGGGUAUGCAACCUUUUGAUCAGUUAUGGAUGCAGAAUAGUUCAGUUUGACGCCCACUUUCACUCAAGCUAAUGAGUGGGUAGAGGCAUCAUUUCCUUAGAAGGGAGACAUUGGCAAAAGGCAUGGGUUUGGGGCCAAAUCAAGUGUUCUUUGUAGACUUUCAAUUUGAGAUGUCUAUUGGGUAUCCAGGUGGCCAUAUCGAGAAGGUGGUGGAUGUGCACAUUUUGAGUUUUAGGACAGGAUAAGGGCUAGAGAUAUGACUUCAGGAGACAUCAAAAUGUAGACGGUGGUUCAAGACCCAAUACUGGAUGAGAUUGCAGAGAGAGAGGGUGCAGCUCUAGAAGGGAAAAAUCUGCAACCAAGUCCUGAUGUAAUUGGACUUGGGAGGAGGAGGACAGCCAGAAGGACGUUUGAACAAGGCCAACUAGUGACACGAGAGGAGAACCAAAAAAGAGGGGCAUUGUCGAAGCCAAGCGAGGAAAGAACUUCAAGAGGGAGGAAGUCCUCAAGUGGCAUAUGGGAGCCUUAAAUAAGAAGACAGAGGAAUGUGUGUCGUGUUCCUCUUCAGCCUGGCUUGGCGCUGCAUCCCAAGCUGUCACUUGAUGUUCUGAGGCAGUGGGAAGAGACCCAACAGGGCUGGCGCGUUGGAACACAGUCUUCUCACACUGCUGAGUCUCCCAAGGUGUGUUUUAUUUGGACUUAAAUAAUGCAGUGUGCAGGACACCCACAUCCUGGUACAGCCUGAAUCACAAAGAGUCCUUUUCACAAUCCUCCUCCUUUUAUCCUCAUGUUAGGAUCGUGCCUGAAUGUCCUUCUCUCGUCUGGGGAAACAAAGAUUCCCUGGCACAGGGACACCAGAUCCACACAGAGAAAAGGCAUCCUCCUGCCACUCAAUUUUGAAAAAAAAUGAAAAGAACGACCACAAAAGAAAAAAAAAAAA